RNAcentral lists this ribosomal RNA (1243 nucleotides) under uncultured soil eukaryote. Its description in RNAcentral is "SSU rRNA". It matches the Rfam family "Eukaryotic small subunit ribosomal RNA", at positions 4 to 1161 of the family's 1831-position model. The record is from RNAcentral.
CUGGUUGAUCCUGCCAGUAGUCAUAUGCUUGUCUCAAAGAUUAAGCCAUGCACGUGUUAGAUCAUUUGGUAAGAAGCAAUUUUUAUGAACAAUAAUCUGCGGAUGGCUCAAGAUAACAGUUAUAAACUUGGCUAUCAGCCUUUUAUACGGAUAACACCGUCAAAUGCGGUGAUAAUACGUGUCCACGAAACCCUAGCGGGUUGACGAUGUGAUAAUUGGAAAAUGUCGCAUCAGCAGAUAGCGGCCUUCGGGCUGUUAUUAUAGACAACGUUAGUUGCCUGAAAGAGGUAUUUCUAACUUAUCAGGUACGUUGUUUCAGUAAGGGUGAAACAAGCCGACCACGAGUACGGCGAAUCAGUGUUCGAUUCCGGAGAGGGAGCCUGAGAGAUGGCUACUACAUCUAAGGAUGGCAGCAGGCGCGAAAAUUACCCAAUACAAAUUCUGUGAGGUAGUGACAAGAUAUAACGACCUUACAUUUUCGCAAUGGAAGGGUACCGUGUUAAAAGCGGUUUGGAAUGUUUCUAGUUCAAAACCCUAUUAGAGUAACAAUUGGAGGACAAGUCUGGUGCCAGCACCCGCGGUAAUUCCAGCUCCAAAAGCAUAUACUAAAAUUGCUGUAGUUAAAACGCUCGUAGUUGAUAUAAGAACGGCUCUUGAACAACCUGCCUGUUCUUCUCUGUGUGUUAAGGUAGCAAUACCUGAAGCAUGCUUAAAAUGGGUCCUGCUAAUAACAGGAUCUGGGGGAUAGGUCUCCGGCGUAUCAAACUGGUCGGGUAAUGUCAGUCUUCUUCCGUUACCCAAUCGGGCGUAGGUUAAACGAAAGUCGCUUCGGCUUAAACCGUGAACAAAUUAGUGUGCUUAAAACAAGCAGCGUGAAGAAUUGCCUUCUGGUAGUUCUUUGAGCUUGAAUAAUUUAGCAUGGUACUUCAACUCCCGCAAGGGAAUGAUAACAGAAGGGAUCAAGGACUCUGGUAUUGCGCGUCUAGAGGUGAAAUUCCGAUAUUUUCGCAAGACGAACGGAGGCGUAAGCGGUCGUGUCCAUUGUGUCUUCAUUGAUCAGGAACGAGAGUCAGGGGAUCGAAGAUGAUUAGAUACCGUCGUAGUCCUGACUGUAAACGAUGCCAACUCAAGUUCAAGUGUGAUACACUUUAUCGAUCUUCUUGGAAUUGACGGGAAACCAUUAAGUCAUUGGGUUCUGGGGGGAGUAUGGUCGCAAGGCUGAAACUUAAAGGAAUUGACGGAA